RNAcentral lists this ribosomal RNA (253 nucleotides) under uncultured bacterium. RNAcentral describes it as "partial 16S ribosomal RNA". It matches the Rfam family "Bacterial small subunit ribosomal RNA", at positions 524 to 776 of the family's 1533-position model. The record is from RNAcentral.
UACGUAGGGUCCGAGCGUUGUCCGGAAUUAUUGGGCGUAAAGAGCUCGUAGGCGGUUUGUCGCGUCUGCCGUGAAAGUCCGGGGCUCAACUCCGGAUCUGCGGUGGGUACGGGCAGACUAGAGUGAUGUAGGGGAGACUGGAAUUCCUGGUGUAGCGGUGAAAUGCGCAGAUAUCAGGAGGAACACCGAUGGCGAAGGCAGAUCUCUGGGCAUUAACUGACGCUGAGGAGCGAAAGCAUGGGGAGCGAACAGG